Molecule: long non-coding RNA, 229 nt
Filed under: Homo sapiens (human)
Lineage: Eukaryota; Metazoa; Chordata; Mammalia; Primates; Hominidae
Description: non-protein coding lnc-NPY-2:1
Source: RNAcentral
UGAUAAGAUGAAUAGCCAAGACACUUUUGAAUCAGAAAAGCAGGAAUGGGGUCUGAUUAUUAAUAUGUAGGAAUUAAGAUAUUGUGAUGUUGGCAUAGGAAGAGACAGCAUGAUCAAUGGACUUUUAGAGAGCUCAGAAAGAGACCUACACAUACAUAUUACUUUGAUAUGUGACAGAGAUAAUGUUUUUCAAUGUGGAAAGGAGAUGAUGCAAUGAAUGGGGGGAACC